UACUUCUUCAGUGGCGUCCCUGCAGAGCAUGUGGAACACGAUGGAAGAAUACAUGGGAGCCCAUCUCAAGCCUUGAAUCAGCAACUGAGAUACAUCCAUGAUGAGCCCUUUUGAACACCACCCCUCGUCCAAGACCUUUUCGGUU
Gymnodraco acuticeps is the source of this 145-nucleotide long non-coding RNA. RefSeq lists it as uncharacterized. The record is from RefSeq and is a predicted model, not a curated record. The transcript is spliced from 3 exons. NCBI's taxonomy places the organism in Eukaryota, Metazoa, Chordata, Actinopteri, Perciformes, Bathydraconidae.